AUGCUAGUUGAUGCAAUUGUUGCCGAAGGGGUUUCUAAAGGUGAUGAGCCAACAAAAGCUGCCAAAAAAUUCUAUGAAAUGUUGAUGGAAGCUGAUAAACCAUUGCAUGAGAAGACCACACAAUCACGUAUAUCCAUUGUAGGAAGGCUAAUGACUAUUAAAACACAACAUAAUUUGUCAGAAGCUUGUUACAAUGAGAUGAUGGCUCUUAUACAUGACAUUGUUGGGGACGAUGCUGCAAAAGAUCUCCCAGCAAGCUUCCAUAGGUCCAAGAAGCUUGUGCAUAGUCUAGCAAUGCCUUAUGUAAAAAUUCAUGCAUGCCCCAAUAAUUGUAUGAUUUACUAUAAAGAGAAUGAAAAUAAAGAAAAAUGCACUAUCUGCAAAGAACCUAGAUAUGAGGAAACAACAGCAGGAAAUAAAUCUACGAAGAUACCAAGAAAAGUUCUGCGCUAUCUCCCAAUUACUCCUAGGCUACAAUGGUUGUACAUGUCACAAAGCACUGCCAAGCACAUGGACUAUCACGCAAGGCCUCGUGACAGUGAUGAAGUAAUGGUUCACCCUUCUCAUGGUGAAGCUUGGAAGGAAUUUAAUAGGGAAUUUAAAAGAUUUGCUGAGGAAGUAAAGAAUAUAAGGCUAUGUCUAGCAACUGAUGGCUUCACACCUUUUGGUAUUAAAGCAGCCUCCUACUCGUGUUGGCCAGUAUUUGUUGUACCUUAUAAUCUUCCACCAGAAAUGUGCAUGAAGCAGAGUAACCUGAUCCUUGCACUAGUUAUUCCCGGUCCAGAUCAUCCAGGAAAGAAUCUGAACGUUUUUAUGCAGCCUCUAGUUGACGAACUUGAUGAUUUGUGGAGAAAUGGUGUAGAAACUUAUGAUAGUUAUCGAAAGCAAAAUUUCACCUUAAAGGCAGCUUUGCUUUGGACCAUUCAUGACUUUCCAGCUUAUGGAUUAGUAGCAUGCUGGAGCACCCAUCGAAAGCUUGCUUGCCCUAUAUGCGGAUCUGACAUAAAGACAUUCUCAUUGAAGAAUGGCAGAAAGCCGUGCUGGUUUGACUGCCACAGGAGAUUCCUUCCCACUAACCAUGCAUUUCAUAGGAGUGUGAAAUGUUUUCGCAAGAAAAAAAUAGUUCUAAAUCCUCCACCAAAGCCCUUGUCCGGAGAAGAGGUGUAUGAACAACUCAAAAGUCUUGUUCAUGACAAAACUGGCAAGAGUAAAUUUGAGGGGUUUGGGAAGGAGCACAAUUGGAUCACUAUAAGUGGUUUGUGGCAACUAGAGUAUUUUUAG
This 1281-nucleotide ribosomal RNA is filed under the name Triticum aestivum (bread wheat). RNAcentral describes it as "partial small subunit ribosomal RNA". Lineage: Eukaryota; Viridiplantae; Streptophyta; Magnoliopsida; Poales; Poaceae. The record is from RNAcentral.